UACGGAGGGGGCUAGCGUUGUUCGGAAUUACUGGGCGUAAAGGGCUCGUAGGCGGCCAACUAAGUCAGACGUGAAAUCCCCAGGCUUAACCUGGGAACUGCGUGUGAUACUGGAUGGCUUGAAUCCGGGAGAGGGAUGCAGAAUUCCAGGUGUAGCGGUGAAAUGCGUAGAUAUCUGGAGGAAUACCGGUGGCGAAGGCGGCAUCCUGGACCGGCAUUGACGCUGAUGAGCGAAAGCUAGGGGAGCAAACGGG
Molecule: ribosomal RNA, 253 nt
Filed under: uncultured bacterium
Lineage: Bacteria
Description: partial 16S ribosomal RNA
Rfam family: Bacterial small subunit ribosomal RNA
Source: RNAcentral